RNAcentral lists this ribosomal RNA (2891 nucleotides) under Pseudomonas sp. Seg1. Its description in RNAcentral is "23S ribosomal RNA". It matches the Rfam family "Bacterial large subunit ribosomal RNA". The record is from RNAcentral. Lineage: Bacteria; Pseudomonadati; Pseudomonadota; Gammaproteobacteria; Pseudomonadales; Pseudomonadaceae.
UCAAGUGAAGAAGCGCAUACGGUGGAUGCCUUGGCAGUCAGAGGCGAUGAAAGACGUGGUAGCCUGCGAAAAGCUUCGGGGAGUCGGCAAACAGACUUUGAUCCGGAGAUGUCUGAAUGGGGGAACCCAGCCAUCAUAAGAUGGUUAUCUUGUACUGAAUACAUAGGUGCAAGAGGCGAACCAGGGGAACUGAAACAUCUAAGUACCCUGAGGAAAAGAAAUCAACCGAGAUUCCCUUAGUAGUGGCGAGCGAACGGGGACUAGCCCUUAAGUGGCUUUGAGAUUAGCGGAACGCUCUGGAAAGUGCGGCCAUAGUGGGUGAUAGCCCUGUACGCGAAAAUCUCUUGGUCAUGAAAUCGAGUAGGACGGAGCACGAGAAACUUUGUCUGAAUAUGGGGGGACCAUCCUCCAAGGCUAAAUACUACUGACUGACCGAUAGUGAACUAGUACCGUGAGGGAAAGGCGAAAAGAACCCCGGAGAGGGGAGUGAAAUAGAUCCUGAAACCGUAUGCGUACAAGCAGUGGGAGCAGACUUUGUUCUGUGACUGCGUACCUUUUGUAUAAUGGGUCAGCGACUUAUUUUCAGUGGCGAGCUUAACCGAAUAGGGGAGGCGUAGCGAAAGCGAGUCUUAAUAGGGCGUCUAGUCGCUGGGAAUAGACCCGAAACCGGGCGAUCUAUCCAUGGGCAGGUUGAAGGUUGGGUAACACUAACUGGAGGACCGAACCGACUACCGUUGAAAAGUUAGCGGAUGACCUGUGGAUCGGAGUGAAAGGCUAAUCAAGCUCGGAGAUAGCUGGUUCUCCUCGAAAGCUAUUUAGGUAGCGCCUCAUGUAUCACUGUAGGGGGUAGAGCACUGUUUCGGCUAGGGGGUCAUCCCGACUUACCAAACCGAUGCAAACUCCGAAUACCUACAAGUGCCGAGCAUGGGAGACACACGGCGGGUGCUAACGUCCGUCGUGAAAAGGGAAACAACCCAGACCGUCAGCUAAGGUCCCAAAGUUAUGGUUAAGUGGGAAACGAUGUGGGAAGGCUUAGACAGCUAGGAGGUUGGCUUAGAAGCAGCCACCCUUUAAAGAAAGCGUAAUAGCUCACUAGUCGAGUCGGCCUGCGCGGAAGAUGUAACGGGGCUCAAACCAUACACCGAAGCUACGGGUAUCAUCUUAGGAUGAUGCGGUAGAGGAGCGUUCUGUAAGCCUGUGAAGGUGAGUUGAGAAGCUUGCUGGAGGUAUCAGAAGUGCGAAUGCUGACAUGAGUAACGACAAUGGGUGUGAAAAACACCCACGCCGAAAGACCAAGGUUUCCUGCGCAACGUUAAUCGACGCAGGGUUAGUCGGUCCCUAAGGCGAGGCUGAAAAGCGUAGUCGAUGGAAAACAGGUUAAUAUUCCUGUACUUCUGGUUAUUGCGAUGGAGGGACGGAGAAGGCUAGGCCAGCUUGGCGUUGGUUGUCCAAGUUUAAGGUGGUAGGCUGAGAUCUUAGGUAAAUCCGGGAUCUUAAGGCCGAGAGCUGAUGACGAGUUGUCUUUUAGAUGACGAAGUGGUUGAUGCCAUGCUUCCAAGAAAAGCUUCUAAGCUUCAGGUAACCAGGAACCGUACCCCAAACCGACACAGGUGGUUGGGUAGAGAAUACCAAGGCGCUUGAGAGAACUCGGGUGAAGGAACUAGGCAAAAUGGCACCGUAACUUCGGGAGAAGGUGCGCCGGUGAGGGUGAAGGACUUGCUCCGUAAGCUCAUGCCGGUCGAAGAUACCAGGCCGCUGCGACUGUUUAUUAAAAACACAGCACUCUGCAAACACGAAAGUGGACGUAUAGGGUGUGACGCCUGCCCGGUGCCGGAAGGUUAAUUGAUGGGGUUAGCUAACGCGAAGCUCUUGAUCGAAGCCCCGGUAAACGGCGGCCGUAACUAUAACGGUCCUAAGGUAGCGAAAUUCCUUGUCGGGUAAGUUCCGACCUGCACGAAUGGCGUAACGAUGGCGGCGCUGUCUCCACCCGAGACUCAGUGAAAUUGAAAUCGCUGUGAAGAUGCAGUGUAUCCGCGGCUAGACGGAAAGACCCCGUGAACCUUUACUAUAGCUUUGCACUGGACUUUGAAUUUGCUUGUGUAGGAUAGGUGGGAGGCUUUGAAGCGUGGACGCCAGUUCGCGUGGAGCCAUCCUUGAAAUACCACCCUGGCAACUUUGAGGUUCUAACUCAGGUCCGUUAUCCGGAUCGAGGACAGUGUAUGGUGGGUAGUUUGACUGGGGCGGUCUCCUCCUAAAGAGUAACGGAGGAGUACGAAGGUGCGCUCAGACCGGUCGGAAAUCGGUCGUAGAGUAUAAAGGCAAAAGCGCGCUUGACUGCGAGACAGACACGUCGAGCAGGUACGAAAGUAGGUCUUAGUGAUCCGGUGGUUCUGUAUGGAAGGGCCAUCGCUCAACGGAUAAAAGGUACUCCGGGGAUAACAGGCUGAUACCGCCCAAGAGUUCAUAUCGACGGCGGUGUUUGGCACCUCGAUGUCGGCUCAUCACAUCCUGGGGCUGAAGCCGGUCCCAAGGGUAUGGCUGUUCGCCAUUUAAAGUGGUACGCGAGCUGGGUUUAGAACGUCGUGAGACAGUUCGGUCCCUAUCUGCCGUGGACGUUUGAGAUUUGAGAGGGGCUGCUCCUAGUACGAGAGGACCGGAGUGGACGAACCUCUGGUGUUCCGGUUGUCACGCCAGUGGCAUUGCCGGGUAGCUAUGUUCGGGAAAGAUAACCGCUGAAAGCAUCUAAGCGGGAAACUUGCCUCAAGAUGAGAUCUCACUGGAACCUUGAGUUCCCUGAAGGGCCGUCGAAGACUACGACGUUGAUAGGUUGGGUGUGUAAGCGCUGUGAGGCGUUGAGCUAACCAAUACUAAUUGCCCGUGAGGCUUGACCA